AGUCGUCUGAAAUACUCGUAGUUUGCUGUAUGUAUUUUGACCUAACACUCUUUGAUCAGGGAGUCCAAUAGGUUUUCUUGCAGCGCACACGCCUCUUAAGGAGGACUUGCAAAACAAGAAACAGGGCACCCACCUGUAAUUAGCAGGCCAAAAUGAUCAAGCUCU
RNAcentral lists this non-coding RNA (165 nucleotides) under Staphylococcus simulans. Its description in RNAcentral is "partial 6S RNA". It matches the Rfam family "6S / SsrS RNA", at positions 1 to 164 of the family's 187-position model. Rfam says of the family: E. coli 6S RNA was the first non coding RNA to be sequenced, but its function was unknown until recently. It consists of 184 nucleotides that fold into an extended hairpin structure with a large single-stranded internal bulge. The record is from RNAcentral. Lineage: Bacteria; Bacillati; Bacillota; Bacilli; Caryophanales; Staphylococcaceae.